RNAcentral lists this long non-coding RNA (537 nucleotides) under Homo sapiens (human). Its description in RNAcentral is "non-protein coding lnc-NMT1-1:2". Lineage: Eukaryota; Metazoa; Chordata; Mammalia; Primates; Hominidae. The record is from RNAcentral.
CUUUACCAAACCGCCAGCGAACUUGACAAUUGUAUUGCGAUGGCGUGGGCUGCGUGACGUCACCUCCGGUCGUGUCUCUGGUCUCCGUGUUUUCCAGUUAAUUACAUCCUCAUGCAGCCGUGAUCAAGGGAAUGUAACUGCUGAAAACUAGCUCGUGAUUGGCAUAUAAUGGAGUUAACGGGUCAUGGAAUGGAAACGGUGAGGCCCCAGUGGCUGUUCUGGAAGAAACAGAUCUCCUGGCAAAGGCCCCAGCAUCUCCCUCACUGAAACCAGGUGGCCGGCUCCUCGGACUCUGCUUUAUGUUGCGGUGAGAACUCUGCCCAGGUGUGCAGGGUUUGGCUUGUGGGCUGCUUGCUGCUCAUCUGAUUUUUGUCCCAGUAGUCCCUGCGUUCUUCAUUCAACCCCUUCUGGGACUUCAGCUCAGAGAGCACCAUCCCGGGGGUCAGGGCCUCCCCACAGGAGCCCUGCAGUGUGGUAGCGCCAUGGCUGUCUCAAACCAAGCAAAGGAAGGACCCUGAGGCCUUCACGCUAACCGUC